This 497-nucleotide ribosomal RNA is filed under the name uncultured bacterium. RNAcentral's name for it is "partial 16S ribosomal RNA". It matches the Rfam family "Bacterial small subunit ribosomal RNA", at positions 28 to 507 of the family's 1533-position model. The record is from RNAcentral.
GAUGAACGCUGGCGGCGUGCCUAAUACAUGCAAGUCGAGCGAACAGACGAGGAGCUUGCUCCUCUUACUUUAGCGGCGGACGGGUGAGUAACACGUGGAUAACCUACCUAUAAGACUGGGAUAACUUCGGGAAACCGGAGCUAAUACCGGAUAAUAUAUUGAACCGCAUGGUUCAAUAGUGAAAGACGGUUUUGCUGUCACUUAUAGAUGGAUCCGCGCCGCAUUAGCUAGUUGGUAAGGUAACGGCUUACCAAGGCAACGAUGCGUAGCCGACCUGAGGGGGUGAUCGGCCCCCCUGGAACUGAGACACCGCCCAGACUCCUACGGGAGGCACUCGUCGCGAAUCUGCGGCCAGGAGCGACCGCCUGACGUAGCCACGCCGCGUGAGUGAUGACGGUGUUCGGCUCGGUAAACUCUGUUAUUAGGGAAGAACAAAUGUGUAAGUAACUAUGCACGUCUUGACGGUACCUAAUCAGAAAGCCACGGCUAACUACGUG